GUCUAUGGCCAUACCACAUUGAAUGUGUCCAAUCUUGUCUGAUCUCAGAAGCUAAGCAGGGUUGGGCCUGGUUAGUACUUAGUACUUGGAUGGGAGAAUGGCUUGGGGUUCCUCAAUG
Molecule: ribosomal RNA, 118 nt
Organism: Cricetulus griseus (Chinese hamster)
Lineage: Eukaryota; Metazoa; Chordata; Mammalia; Rodentia; Cricetidae
Source: Ensembl